RNAcentral lists this ribosomal RNA (433 nucleotides) under uncultured bacterium. RNAcentral describes it as "partial 16S ribosomal RNA". It matches the Rfam family "Bacterial small subunit ribosomal RNA", at positions 29 to 507 of the family's 1533-position model. The record is from RNAcentral.
AGCGAACGCUGGCGGCAGGCCUAACACAUGCAAGUCGAACGAACUCUUCGGAGUUAGUGGCGGACGGGUGAGUAACACGUGGGAACGUGCCUUUAGGUUCGGAAUAACUCAGGGAAACUUGUGCUAAUACCGAAUGUGCCCUUCGGGGGAAAGAUUUAUCGCCUUUAGAGCGGCCCGCGUCUGAUUAGCUAGUUGGUGAGGUAAAGGCUCACCAAGGCGACGAUCAGUAGCUGGUCUGAGAGGAUGAUCAGCCACAUUGGGACUGAGACACGGCCCAAACUCCUACGGGAGGCAGUAGUGGGGAAUCUUGCGCAAUGGGCGAAAGCCUGACGCAGCCAUGCCGCGUGAAUGAUGAAGGUCUUAGGAUUGUAAAAUUCUUUCACCGGGGACGAUAAUGACGGUACCCGGAGAAGAAGCCCCGGCUAACUUCGUG